AGAACGAACGCUGGCGGCAGGCUUAACACAUGCAAGUCGAACGAACGUAGCAAUACGUUAGUGGCGCACGGGUGAGUAACGCGUGGAUAUCUGCCUUUUGGUUCGGGAUAACCUUGGGAAACUAGGGCUAAUACCGAAUGGUUCCUACGGGAUAAAGAUUUAUCGCCAAAAGAUGAGUCCGCGUCCGAUUAGCUAGUUGGUGGGGUAAUGGCCCACCAAGGCGACGAUCGGUAGCUGGUCUGAGAGGACGAUCAGCCACACUGGGACUGAGACACGGCCCAGACUCCUACGGGAGGCAGCAGUGGGGAAUAUUGGACAAUGGGGGCAACCCUGAUCCAGCCAUGCCGCGUGAGUGAUGAAGGCCUUCGGGUUGUAAAGCUCUUUUGGCGGGGUACGAUGAUGACGGUACCCGCAGAAUAAGCCCCGGCUAACUUCGUGCCAGCAGCCGC
RNAcentral lists this ribosomal RNA (449 nucleotides) under uncultured bacterium. RNAcentral describes it as "SSU rRNA". It matches the Rfam family "Bacterial small subunit ribosomal RNA", at positions 26 to 518 of the family's 1533-position model. The record is from RNAcentral.